Molecule: unclassified non-coding RNA, 240 nt
Filed under: soil metagenome
Description: partial contains 5.8S ribosomal RNA, internal transcribed spacer 2, and large subunit ribosomal RNA
Source: RNAcentral
AACGCACGAGACCUGCGGACCUGCGGAGGGAUCAUUAAUGAGAAGCUGCCCCUCGUGGGUAGACCUCCCACCCUCUGUGAACUUACCUUUGUUGCUUUGGCAGGCCCGUCCUCUGGACCGCCGGCUUCGGCUGGCCCGUGCCUGCCAGAGGAUUCCAAACCCUGUCUGUCAGUGUUGUCAGAGUCUAUAUGAAAUCGUUAAAACUUUCAACAACGGAUCUCUAGAUCGGAAGAGCACACG